UUAAAAACAACGACAGGAUAAAAACUAACCAGAAGUUGUAAAAGAAUACCUGCUUCAGAAAAGAUAAAUACGGUCAAUAUGAAUAUUUUACAUCACAUGUUUUGAUGUGAUUUCAGAUCGACCAGGCAGAUACUGUGCCGACCGUUUCUAUGAUUGUUCUAAGGUAAAAGAGCAAUGUAAUGACUACACAAUCAAACAGAUUUGUCCAUCAACUUGUAAUGUAUGUGGUCAGUAUAUAUUAUCGUUAGAUUUAAAUGCGUAUUACACUUUUAAUACGUCAGCGUAAAUGAUGUUAGUAAACUUGUAUAUCAGAGUGACAGAAGAUUAAAAGGACAUUCAAAAGUCGUCGAGAAGCCAACAACGUAAUUAACAAAAGACACAAAGGCAAACAUCACUCUUCAAAAUACCUUUAAUACAAAUCUAAAAAUUGAACAACAUGGACCACGCUUAUAACAGCGGUCAUCAUAUAUGCACUGGAAGAAUCGUUUGAAGACAUUUUGCUGACAUCAUCACAAGUUGAUUGUCCGGUAUUGAAUAUAUAUGUACACAAAGGAAAAAACAUGUAAGAAAAAUAGUAGUUACAUGUACCACAAAAUGUCCUCUGUUUUCCUGAAUUAAACAAACCAAUGGUCUAAAAAUUGUGUUUACCAGGUCAAGAAAAUGGUCAUUAUUAUAUUAUAGUUCGUUUCUGUGUGUGUUACAUUUAAAUGUUGUGUUUCAGUGUGUCGUAGUUCUCAUAUAUUUGAUGUGUUUCCCUUUGUUUUAGUGUGUGACCCGGAUUUGUUUUUGUCUCUAUCGAUUUUCAUGCCACAAACCAGGUUCAACAGGGCAUUUUAAGAAAAAUGGUGGGUUAAAUCUGGUUUGUGGCGUGCCAAACCUCCCGUUUUAAUAGCAAUGUUGAUUAUGACAUUUAAAUGAAAACAUUACAUGACAGGACUACAAUACAAAUAAAUGGGAGAAAUAUAGGACAGAGAAACACACGAAUAAUAGCCAACAAAAGGUACCAGGCUACAAAUUUAAUACGCCUGACGUGCGUUUCGUCCACACAAGACUUGAUAAUUUUUUCUUAUACGACCAAGUUCAAUCCACCAUUUCUUGCAUCCGAAAAUUUAUGCACCAAGUCAGGAAGAUGACAGGUGUUUUCCAUUCGUUUGAUGUGUUUGAGCUUUUGAUUUAGCAAUUUGAUUAGGGACUUCUCGUUUUAAAUUUAUUGGCUUUAUAACUAUUUUGAUAUGAGCGUCACUGAUGAGUCUUAUGUAGACGAAACGCGCGUCUUGCGUAUUAAAUUAUAAUCCUGGUACCUUUGAUAACUAUAACUAUUUAUCGGAGUUCAGUAUUUUGUGAAUCUACUUUUUAUUUCAGAUUGGAAUACAGGAAUGUAAUGAUCACUUCUAAGAACAAACAUUAGUUUCUCGUGACACAUCAACAGCCUUCUCUAAUGCCGAUGUCUACUAUGUACUCAUUGUGAAAUAAAUAAAAUGUUUUGAUAAAAUAUCUCGAAUUUAUAUUGGCAAAAUAAAGAAUCUCUAAUUUUUACUGCCUCGUCUUCUAAUUUGAAAAAACAGCUGCGCCACGAUCUCAUGAUACGCCCGUCGUCUUUUAAUAAAUGUUUCUGGAAUAACACGAGGGUUGUACAGGAAGUACCCCCUGACUCAUUCACUAUUCCUGCAUUAGAAAGUUUAUAUAAGAGACAGAAAUUUGAAAGCAAAUAAAACAAAGUUAAUGUUUUAAUACUUGAAUCGUUAAGUUGUUUCAGAGAAUACCAUCUUUGAAAAACAUUUCGACGUCAUACGUCGACGACAUCCUAUAUCCUUACGGGCCAUCAAUUUAACAUCUAGUCGAAAACUCCUGAUACUGAGCCAGAAAGAUAACUUUGGUCGAGCAAUAAUUUGUAUUUUGUGUGAAUGUACUAACUUCUUCUAAGUCUGCUUAUAA
This 1935-nucleotide long non-coding RNA is filed under the name Mytilus galloprovincialis (Mediterranean mussel). Lineage: Eukaryota; Metazoa; Mollusca; Bivalvia; Mytilida; Mytilidae. The record is from RNAcentral.